RNAcentral lists this ribosomal RNA (305 nucleotides) under uncultured bacterium. RNAcentral's name for it is "partial 16S ribosomal RNA". It matches the Rfam family "Bacterial small subunit ribosomal RNA", at positions 505 to 807 of the family's 1533-position model. The record is from RNAcentral.
ACAGCAGUAGCCACGGUAAUACAGAGGAUGCAAGCGUUAUCCGGAAUGAUUGGGCGUAAAGCGUCUGUAGGUGGCUUUUCAAGUCCGCCGUCAAAUCCUAGGGCUCAACCCUGGACAGGCGGUAGAAACUACCAAGCUGGAGUACGGUAGGGGCAAAGGGAAUUUCUGGUGGAGCAGUGAAAUGCGUUGAGAUUAGAAAGAACACCAACAAUGAAAGCACUCUGCUGGGCCGACACUAACAUUAAGAGACGGAAGCUAGGGGAGCAAAUGGGAUUAGAUACCCCCGUAGUCCCUGUCUCUUAUAC